AUUGAACGCUGGCGGCAGGCUUAACACAUGCAAGUCGAGCGGUAACAGGGGAGCUUGCUCCUGCUGACGAGCGGCGGACGGGUGAGUAACGCGUAGGAAUCUACCUAGUAGAGGGGGACAACGUGUGGAAACGCAUGCUAAUACCGCAUACGCCCUAAGGGGGAAAGGAGGGGACUUUUCGGAGCCUUCCGCUAUUAGAUGAGCCUGCGUAAGAUUAGCUAGUUGGUAGGGUAAAGGCCUACCAAGGCGACGAUCUUUAACUGGUCUGAGAGGAUGACCAGUCACACUGGGACUGAGACACGGCCCAGACUCCUACGGGAGGCAGCAGUGGGGAAUAUUGGACAAUGGGCGGAAGCCUGAUCCAGCCAUGCCGCGUGUGUGAAGAAGGCCUUAGGGUUGUAAAGCACUUUCAGGGGUGAGGAAGGGUAGCUAGUUAAUACCUAGUUAUCUAGACGUAGCCC
This 461-nucleotide ribosomal RNA is filed under the name Marinomonas sp. oral taxon D33. RNAcentral describes it as "bacterial SSU rRNA". It matches the Rfam family "Bacterial small subunit ribosomal RNA", at positions 30 to 481 of the family's 1533-position model. Lineage: Bacteria; Pseudomonadati; Pseudomonadota; Gammaproteobacteria; Oceanospirillales; Oceanospirillaceae. The record is from RNAcentral.